AAAUGUUAUUUGCAAGAUAAGCUAUUUAAGCUAUUGGGUUCAUACCCCACCGAUAGAAUAUUUC
This 64-nucleotide transfer RNA is filed under the name Bothropolys sp. SP-2004. RNAcentral describes it as "tRNA-Met". The record is from RNAcentral. Lineage: Eukaryota; Metazoa; Arthropoda; Chilopoda; Lithobiomorpha; Ethopolyidae.